Molecule: ribosomal RNA, 497 nt
Filed under: uncultured bacterium
Lineage: Bacteria
Description: partial 16S ribosomal RNA
Rfam family: Bacterial small subunit ribosomal RNA
Source: RNAcentral
GAUGAACGCUGGCGGCGUGCCUAAUACAUGCAAGUCGAGCGAACAGACGAGGAGUUUGCUCCUCUCACGUUAGGGGCUGGCGGGUGAGUAACACGUGGAUAACCCACCUAUCAUACUGGUAUAUUUUCGGGAAACCGGAUCUUAUACCGGAUAAUAUACUGAACCGUGUGGUUCAAUAGUGAAAGACGGUUUUGCUGUCACUUAUCGCUGGAUCCCCGCCGCAUUAGCUAGUUGGUAAGGUAACGGCUUACCAAGGCAAGGCUGCGUAGCCGACCGGACAGGGUGAUCGGCGACACUGGAGCUGAGACACGGUCCAGACUCCUACGGGAGGCAGCAGUAGGGAAUCUUCCGCAGUGGGCGGAAGUCUGACGGAGCAACGGCGCGUGAGUGAUGAAGGUCUUCGGAUCGUGAAACUCUGUUAUUAGGGAAGAACAAAUGUGUAAGUAAAUAUGCACGGCUUGACGGUACCGGAUCAGAAAGCCACGGCUAACUACGUG